Glycine soja is the source of this 1387-nucleotide long non-coding RNA. RefSeq lists it as uncharacterized. Lineage: Eukaryota; Viridiplantae; Streptophyta; Magnoliopsida; Fabales; Fabaceae. The record is from RefSeq and is a predicted model, not a curated record. The transcript is spliced from 4 exons.
AUUAAUAAAAAAAGCAUUAUCAAGAGACUGUGAUUGCCGAUAAUCAAUUCUAGCUCAUUUUUCUGCAAAAAUGUUCUUGAUGAGAUAGGUUAUCUUUUCAUAGAGGGUAACUACAAUAGAUAGACUACAUUUCCCCUCAUUUGAACAUUGGGACCCUAAACCCUGAACUCACAUUUUCUUAUUUCUUUUCCUUUUAGUGUUCCUUCUGCACAACAUGUGAAUCUGCAAUGUGAAGCAGAAAGACACUACCUCACGUCUACCUCACAAAUCAACCAACCAACCAUGAUUUUAACAUUAGCUUUUCGCACAGUCAAGAGACCGUACAUACUCAGCAACAAAAUCCAAAGCAUAUUGAGAGAAACUUCUUUUUCUUUUCUCUUUUUUUUGUUUCUGUCUGUUAUCAUAAAGGAUCAAUAACCACCCACCAUAAGAGAAAUCAAAUCCAGAAGUACAUCAACAAGAAUCAUGGUUAGUAUUAUUAGAACCAACAAUCAAUGUAACCCCUCACACAUAUACCACAGCAUAUUCAACAAUUGGAAUUUGGAAAGAAUGAAGAAGAAAACAAGUGGCCACCAUGGCUUAGGCCAUUUCUCCAAACAAGCCUUUUUUGUUCAAUGCAAAGUCCACACAGAUUUCCACAAAAGUGAAUGCAACACGUAUUGCUCGGAUUGUAUGAAUGGAGCCCUUUGUUCAGACUGUCUUGCUUCUAACAGAGAACACAAAGCUAUUCAGCAUUAAAAUAGAAAACAACUUGCUUAUUUGAACCACAAGAUCAUAAACAGGGUUAUAUAGCAACAAACUUUUCAUUCCUCCUUUUGACUUGAGAUAUUGUGUUGGAACGGACUUCACUAAGGUUCAGAUGGCUAUGUUUAUUCAUAUUCAUAGCUUGGUAACAAAGUACAGGUGGCGACCCAUCAAAGGAGGAAACAUCCUUCGAACUCCGGGUUUACAUUUUCCAAAUGGCUUUCACGUCCAGAUCAUGGAAAAAGAUCAAAGGAAACAGCUGGAACCAGAAUAUACCAUUACAAAUUAGAGACCAAAACUACACAAGAGAGACUCAUAUAUGGUAGAAAUUUAGGUUUGACAUUUUCAAGAAACACAAGGGAAUGAAAUUCUUAUGGAAGCCAGAAAAGUAACCAUAAGGAUCUCUCACUCAGUUUUGAUUAGGUCUCUUAAAAGUUGUUUUUAUUAGAUUUUCUUCUCAAUAUACUACAGGGUUUUAAUGAAAAACAUGGUUCAAAACCAAAAUAUGACGUGCCUUACCUUGCAAAAAUGCAAUGAGGGGGAAGGGAAGGAAACUUGUACUUUCGUAACAAGUGGGUGUAAAUGCUUCAGAUUAUAUCCUGAGUUAAUAUACAAUUUUCCCUUUUGAAAGUCACAAUUUUUA